Paramormyrops kingsleyae is the source of this 1694-nucleotide long non-coding RNA. RefSeq lists it as uncharacterized. The record is from RefSeq and is a predicted model, not a curated record. Lineage: Eukaryota; Metazoa; Chordata; Actinopteri; Osteoglossiformes; Mormyridae.
CUGGAGAGUGACACAUCAGCAUUCAGGCGGCACUGUAGCCCACUGUGCGGUGGCAAGGAGCCAGCGAGUCUCCCGAGCCAGAGGGAGAUGAGGGCAGCCCUCUGCUGGUUGGACUCCAGCAGCUCAACGAGCUGCACAUAUCUGCUCUACGGUCCUGCAGGGUCACGGGGAUGUGGAACCUAUACCAGAAGAUAUGGGUGCAAGGGCAGGGAAUAAUCCAGGAUGACAUGGGGAGAACAUGCAAACUCCACACGCAUGGAGCCAGAGGUGUGAGAAAGCCAAUGUUUUGGAAAACAAUAAAGCCAGACAGAAUCGGAAAUGUGUGCUUCCACCACAUCACCAGUAAAAUUACUCCUGGUUUCCUGCCUCCUGUCUACCUGCCUGCACCAUCGGGCACUCCAAGUCCUCCAGAACACUGCUGCACGCCGUGUUUUCGACCUCCAGAAAUGUUCACACUUUUCACCUUGUGUGAGCCAACUCACAGCUGUACUUCAAUGCACUGCCCUAUAAAUCACUUUGAAUUAAAAUGAAUCAUAUAAAUGUCAAUAAUAAAAUUGCAUCUGUACACAGUUCAGAUACUGAUAAUGUGUGGAACAUGAAAGCAUUUAUUCUUGUGCAAAUAUAUGCAGCUUGUUGGACAAUUUACUGAAUUAGUCUCUUUUUCUUAGUUAAAGUGUAUGUGGUUCAGGGUACUUCAGUCCAACCAUUUUGGGUUAAUGAUGCAGGCUACAGUGACAAAUAUUUAGACAAUUCAAGUUGAGAAGUACAGAGAAAUGUUUGCCUUUUCUGUUUCAUAUGUGCCAUCAUGAUGAAGCCAUGUUUGUAAUAUCCUGCCAAAGUCCUAGCAUUUUGGAAAUAUGACUCCCUUCUCACAUUCAUGUUAUGCAACCUUGUGCUUUAUUCUUUAGUGACAAAUACAAGCAAAGGCAAAUCAUUUCACGAUACAAGCACUGGAUGCUGUCCAUAAAUUAUUUAGCACGUAGGACUGAUUUGCUUUAAAAAAGAAAGAGAGAGAGAGAGAAAGAGAGAAAAGUCAGCAAAACUUCUCUUGAGUAUGUUCUUGCCAGGAGCCACUGACAUCAUGAUAGCAGAGAUGGCAAGUCUGGUAGAUCUAUCCACACAGAAAGCAACACCAUGAAUUGGUUAUCGCCUUAUCUACUCUUAGAGACCCAGAUACAUCAUUCUGCUUCCUGCCAUUAAUCAGGUACAGUUAUUGGUCAAGGUUAUUCUCUUGUGUUAGUGACUAGUUAGCCAGGGAAAUAAACGUAAUGCAGAGCAUGGCCUGUGAGAAUGGGUGCGAGUCAGAGUGCCGAGCCGAUUAAGAGAUGUUUCACAAUGACAAUUGAAGGUAGACCAAUGCAGCAAGGCGUAAACUCCCUGUAGAUUAUCAAAUUCACUUAGCUCAGAUGAUAUGAGAAGCUGAACAACGUCUGUAAUUGACAAAAAUCACUCAGCAUCACCAUGACAAUAAAUUAAUGUGUUUUUCAAAGACAAAAGUGCCCGUAGUAACCUCAGCUCAAUUGUCAGCAUAUACUGUAACUAGACAUAACUGCCUGAAUAUAUGCACAAAAUGGCAAUGUGUUUUCACUUUUCAGGAAUCUUAAAGAAAGACAUGUAAAACUGAAACUACAAGAGUUUCAUGUUUAAGCAUUCAGCUUGUUGUGUCUGCAAAAAUAAACAUCAGUGUAACAAAA